Molecule: ribosomal RNA, 301 nt
Filed under: uncultured bacterium
Lineage: Bacteria
Description: partial 16S ribosomal RNA
Rfam family: Bacterial small subunit ribosomal RNA
Source: RNAcentral
CAGUAGCCGCGGAAAACGGAGGGUGCAAGCGUUAAUCGGAAUUACUGGGCGUAAAGCGCACGCAGGCGGUCUGACAAGUCAGAUGUGAAAUCCCCGGGCUUAACCUGGGAACUGCAUUUGAAACUGUCAGGCUGGAGUCUUGUAGAGGGGGGUGGAAUUCCAGGUGUAGCGGUGAAAUGCGUAGAGAUCUGGAGGAAUACCGGUGGCGAAGGCGGCCCCCUGGACAAAGACUGACGCUCAGGUGCGAAAGCGUGGGGAGCAAACAGGAUUAGAUACCCGUGUAGUCCCUGUCUCUUAUACA